GGAAGCUUGGUCCAGCAGCCAUUACAGCAUUGGUAAAGUAAACUGGAGCAGUGUCUUGAUGGACAGCGCCACAUUUCCUGCAAUGAUGUCUUUGAUAGACUUAUACAAUCUUUCGAAAAAGCUUGGCAUAAUAUUUACCAUUCAUAGCUGUUACGUGUGGUAUAUAAUUGAUGUCUGGGCUGUUCCAAAAAAAGGUGGUCAUAACUUUCUGGUGGAUCUGGUUGCUAAUGAUUUCUUGCUUUGUAAGACUUGGAGUGUUUGUGCUUGAGGGAUCCUUGUUUGCUCUUGGAUCCAGGGUGGUAACUGCAUGGUUAACCUGCCUUGAGAGCCCUGAGACCUGAAGAUUGGUUCUCUGUGUCCAUACAUUUAUAUCUUUAUAUAUUUGGCCCAGGGGCUGCUGAUUGUUGGUCUGCUCAUGUGACAUGUCUUUGUCACUAUGACUUUAGUGAAUCAGUAUUUGUGACUCUACAAGAUGGAUCUUGAUGGCCCUGCACGCCAAGCUAAAUUCUCCAUUUUAUGACAACUGGUUGCUUAAGAAAUGUUCAAAAUGAUGAGGUAGGGAUGAUGAGCUAGUGGUAUUCUUGAUCAUUAUGGUGACAGAUUGAAAAUAACUGCAGAGAUGCCAACCCUCCCAAAUUCAUCGGAAUUAUCUUGAAAAAUGAAUGUCGAUUCCGCAUUUCCGACAAAGCCAAA
Long non-coding RNA from Haliotis rubra (blacklip abalone), 693 nucleotides. RefSeq lists it as uncharacterized. The transcript is spliced from 2 exons. Lineage: Eukaryota; Metazoa; Mollusca; Gastropoda; Lepetellida; Haliotidae. The record is from RefSeq and is a predicted model, not a curated record.